UACGGAGGUUGCGAGCGUUGUUCGGAAUGACUGGGCGUAAAGGGAGCGCAGGCGGUUCGGUUUGUCCGGCGUGAAAGCCCGGGGCUCAACCCCGGCGGGCCGUCGGAAACGGCCGAACUCGAGUACGGAAGAGGAGAGCGGAAUUCCGGGUGUAGCGGUGAAAUGCGUAGAUAUCCGGAGGAACACCGGUGGCGAAAGCGGCUCUCUGGUCCGAUACUGACGCUCAGGCUCGAAAGCGUGGGGAGCAAACGGG
This 253-nucleotide ribosomal RNA is filed under the name uncultured bacterium. RNAcentral describes it as "partial 16S ribosomal RNA". It matches the Rfam family "Bacterial small subunit ribosomal RNA", at positions 524 to 776 of the family's 1533-position model. The record is from RNAcentral.